GAUUACUACUCAUGUCCUGAGGGAAAUACUUGCUGCUGUAUUUAUGAAUACAGUGGCUUUUGCUUUGGAUGGGGAUGCUGCCCACUGGAGUCUGCAACCUGCUGUGAUGACCAUUACAGCUGCUGCCCUCAUGAGUAUCCCAUCUGUGACCUUGAAGCUGGAACCUGCCGAAUGAGCAAGGAGAAUCCAUUGAGCAUAAAAGCAAUGCGACGAGAUCCUGCAAAAAGAACCCACCAUGGUGGUAACACGGCUUUCGGCAGGAUCUAUUAGGGUCUGGGCGACAUUGAAGUGAAGAAGGUGCAAUGGGGCAGCGUUUCAUGCUUGAUGACCUAGCCAUCUGCAGAGGAGCUUAGGUUACAGAGAAAGCUUCUUUCAUUGCACAGACAGAAUAUGUGCAUCAGACCCUAUUUAAACCGUUAAGGAAUGUUUAUUGCUUUUCAGUUUCUUGGUGA
RNAcentral lists this unclassified non-coding RNA (452 nucleotides) under Hevea brasiliensis (rubber tree). Lineage: Eukaryota; Viridiplantae; Streptophyta; Magnoliopsida; Malpighiales; Euphorbiaceae. The record is from RNAcentral.